AGGAAAGUACCCAGCUCAGAGCUUGACGCAUCUGAUUUAUUUUCAGUCGGUUGCGUAGCUUAUAUGUUCAUCGUAUAGAUUUCUGAAACAACAAGUAAUUUUCCAGAUAAGAAAUAAACGAGAACAUAUAAAUGCAUGAUAGAAUCUAUGGGACCAAGUAUUUUCUUAAGUGUUUGAAAACAAGAUAGAUUUCACCGUCAAUCUAUGUGAUAGUAGCGCGCGGAACAAUCACGACACGGGUGGAGUACGUAUACACUGGAAGGAUAGCCACAAGAUAUGGCAUGACAUACGCCAGGAGUAAUAGCAGGGAAAAUAAUCGUAAUAAGCAAAUCACCGUCUAAUACUAGUUUGUUUCUCUAGAUCAACAGCAACCACCAUAAUACGUAAGUAGCUGGUUGUUGAUCUUGAUCCAAGAUCCUAAGACGGUGAUCGAGCAAAUAAAUUGUUUUCAUGCACUUGAAAAAUAGCAAAAAUCAAAGGCCUACUACCAAUAUUGGUUGUGAACAAAACAAUCAGCGGAAACAAUACAUAGGAUGAUGGAUGCCGAGAUAUACGGAGGAAAUCAUCAACAUCUUUGCACACAGCUUAAUAUCUCAACUUCAUAUUAUUGAUGACAGUAGUCAACGCAUUGAGGAAACCGGGUAACAAAGGAGUAGCGCGCUACAACACCAAUUAACUAAUUAUUAGCGGUACAAAAGAAGAACACCAAGGUUUAUACCACAUAUCACACCACUUCGAUCAUAAACCCCUGGAUAUUGGUACAGAUACCCAAGAACACAAGGUUCAUCCCCCUAUCUUCAUCCACGUACCCGUCAUCAAGAUACACUACCACCCCCAGAUCAGACCAGAACAAUUGCCAAAGGAUACAAGUUGCCCUACCUUAGUAGAGAGGUAAAAACACGCCGCCGUCGACGACGCCGAGGCCACGGCCGCGGCCGUCACUCCUCAACGAGGGGAGUAGCCGCCGUCAUCUCCAUGGCCACGAGCCCACGCCCCCACCCUAUAGGCGUCGUCCGAAGCGCAGCCACCCGUUGCCGAGACACACGCACGCUCCAGAAUAAGAACACGGCCACGCACCAUGACAUAAGCCUGUAGAUCUUUGCGUGUGCUGCUUGGAUAAUGUGUGGAGCUCGCGUUCCCCCCUGCCGCCGCCCUGGGCGUACGUGGGCUUAAGAGGGGGAGGAGAGGGAGCUCCCAUUGGGCGCUUUUAUUUGGACGCUUCGCUGCCUCUUUGAGGAUCCGAGGGGGCUUUCUGCAGAAACGUUUUUUCUAAUGCCAAAAAGCUCCUCGCCUACGCCUAUGCUACCUAAAUCCU
RNAcentral lists this long non-coding RNA (1315 nucleotides) under Setaria viridis. Its description in RNAcentral is "long non-coding RNA (SVIR_LNC011446)". Lineage: Eukaryota; Viridiplantae; Streptophyta; Magnoliopsida; Poales; Poaceae. The record is from RNAcentral.